This 296-nucleotide unclassified non-coding RNA is filed under the name fungal sp. Its description in RNAcentral is "partial internal transcribed spacer region". The stretch from base 1 to 46 matches the Rfam family "Eukaryotic small subunit ribosomal RNA", at positions 1786 to 1831 of the family's 1831-position model. The record is from RNAcentral. Lineage: Eukaryota; Fungi.
AAGUCGUAACAAGGUAACCGUAGGUGAACCUGCGGUUGGAUCAUUAACAAUAUUAUGAUCGGGAUCAAUUGAGUCUCUGGAGUGAUUGGAUUUGGUUCCUCCUCUGGGCUCAUAUUGACCCAAGACCCCAACAUCUUUUGUGAACUGUUUUAACCUUUUGUUUGGCCAAUGGCCGGGAAGCCCCCCGGGGUUCCUUUCCAGUGUCCAGACAAUACCAACCUAAUUCAUAUUUGUCAUAAUGAUACAAUUUUCUUUAAAACAAGAAACAACUUUUGGCAACGGAUCUCUUGGCUCUC